Episyrphus balteatus (marmalade hoverfly) is the source of this 4154-nucleotide long non-coding RNA. RefSeq lists it as uncharacterized. NCBI's taxonomy places the organism in Eukaryota, Metazoa, Arthropoda, Insecta, Diptera, Syrphidae. The transcript is spliced from 10 exons. The record is from RefSeq and is a predicted model, not a curated record.
UACAUUAACCAAUUAAAAAAAAAACUAUAUUUUAUUUAUUUCAGGGGAAAUAACAAUUGGUUCCUCACUUACAUUGCUCUCACUGUACUAUUUAUCCAAGUGAAGAAAAUGAAUUGACCAUUGUCCAACAAAACGAUGCCAGAGUUAUCCAUAGAACAAAACUUGUGAUGGCGAAACAAAUUUCACCCAAGGCGCAAUGAUAACAAUUGGUAAUUCAAAUUAUUUGUGUUUCAAUUAUUCUGCCGAAGCUCAACUUAUACCUACGCUGUGUCAUGGGCACCAAACAACGAAUUUCAGUGCCGCGUCGCAAUUCAGGCAGCACCAGUAAUGGUGGUUGUGCUAGUGGUAGCUUCAAAGAAGCUCAAAUAGUAUUCUACGAAUCGAAAAUUCAUCCGAAAGAAUCAUCAUCAAAACUAGCCCCCCUUUCUGUCUUGCAAACUUCACAAGUCACAAAAACCUCACAAGAUGAGGAAAUGCCACACGUCGUCGUGGAAGAGAACCCAAACGCUAAAUUAAAGCUAUCAAUCGCUAUCAAACAACCCAAGUUAAAAGAGGUAAGUGGAUUUAUGAUCUUUUCCAGAGCUCGUGGUAUUAUUCAUACUAUCCUCCACUUGAUGUUAGUACAUAUAAAAAAUCAAGGCUGCGGCUGAUGCUUCUGGUGUUGAAACGGAGGCACAAGUUAAAGAAGCAGCAGUAUCAUCAUCUCGGCUUGACUGCUGUUUCUGUGAUGCUGACAUUGUGGUGACGUCGAUGGUUUUCUUCGAGGGGACAAUUUGUUUUUUAAUUUUUAUUACUUGCACUUUCAUUACUUGCACUCUCAUGCUUCGAACGAACAAUACAAAAUUGCAACAAAAAAAAUUAAUGAGUGCGUUCAACCAGCCAACAUAAAAGCUAUCGGAUAGCUUUUUGUUGUUGUAAGCAAAGCGAGAGGAUUUAUUUUGAAUAAAAAAUAUGAUGUUUUGUUAUUAUAAUUCACAUAAAAGUAUUCUCAAAUUUGUUGGUGGUUGACAGUUUAACAAUAACUAACAAUAAAUCAUUCCUAUAUUUGUUAAAAAACCCAACAAAAUUCUAGCAUGACAAUUCAACAGUAUUUUUUUGGCAUAAAAACAAUAGUUAACUAUUGUUGAAAAAAUAACGUACCUCCAAUAGGUGAUUGAACGCACCCAUUAAUACUAUUUAAACUUCAAAUUCGCCAAACUUCCUUUUUUGUUUGCUUUUUGUUGAUGCUGCUGUUUUGCAAAAUCUAAAAUUUAAACUCUUGAAACUUCCACAAAGCGAAUGCAAGCUCACUCAGGUGCUACUCGGCAGACUGUUAUCCCACCACCAAUGAACCAGAUUCAUCACAUUCUACAAAACCCACACAUGCAUAUGAGUGGACAGACACCGCACCUUUGGAUCCUUUUGUGGCAUAUAGAAAUAGAUCGACACCAGUCGCUGCCCAUCAAACUACAAGAACUAAAGGAGUUCAAGGAAAAAGCAGCAGCAAUUCCAACGGAAAUAAAAAAAAGAAAAAAGACGGAGACAAGAAAACUGCUGCUGCAAAUAAACCAUCGACAAGGGUCACCCAAUCUCGAGUACCCGAAUCUCGAGUACCCCAAUCGCUGGUAAUCGAUCGACACGUAAAUCUGCAUGGGAGCGCCCUGAAGAUCUUCAUAACUUCCCAGUUUUGGAUCACAAUACUUACAUACAUAUAUGACUCAGUAAAAAAUGCAAAAAGAAAAGCACCGAGGAAAUGAAAGAGUUGUUGAAGAAAUCGCGCCAACAGAGUGAACUGUUGAAAGUUGAAAGCCAAAUUCAGGUUUCGCAAUUACCCGUACCACUAUCGCAUACCCGUCCGUUGUGGCCAAGCCUUAAAUCUCGUCGAAAACUUUGCAAACUUAAAUGAUUCACAUUAAAAAAACAAAAACACUUACAAUCUAAACUUGACAUUGUGGAGCGUAUUUAAACGCCCAACCUGAAAACCACGCAAAAGCUUGAUCGUGUUACAGGGAUAGUUGCAUCUGAAUUUAGGAGUUUAAAAAUGUUCUCUGAAAAGAAAGCAAUGGCCGCAUUUGAAAAAGUUAAAAAUGAACUUUCGAAAAAUAUUCGAUUUUGCCAUCACGUUUCCAAGGCCAAGAAAUAAAGACGCACAGGCCUAUCUAAGAACCUCAUUUGGAUGGAAUAAGUUAUAAUUAUUUUGCAACAAGAAAACGUUUUCAGUCAAUGAGUAAUUUGAGUGGUGGUGAGAAAACUAUUGCUGCUUUUUCUAUGCAUACUUUACAACCUGGCCCAUUUUUGUAACAUCUAUAAACGAGGUCACAUCACAAUGAACCAUCAAACUAUCGUCAUUUCGCUCAAAGAGAAGUUUUAUGUGCAUACUGUUGCUUUGUUUGGAAUUUCACCAGCUGCCUCUUAAUAUUGGCUAAAUGACACGUACAUGGACAUAACAAUACCGUUGCCAAUUAAUUCCAAUCCUGGCAUGGUGUUCCCUCCCAGAAAAUUCACCACCGUUCAUGAUGUAGCUCGAUUUGCAGCACGCAUAAUUGAAGGAAUAAUGCAGCACAAAGAAAUGCUUGACACUGGCAACUUACAACAAGAACGUGCAACAUCACGUGAAAAAAAAUCAACCUCUGUGCAUGGCACAAUACUAUCGAUUACUUGGUUCAUGCCGCAGACCAGGUAUUGAACGUGAUUCCUAACACUUGUCACAACCAAAUGCAGAUCCAGAUAUCAUUGUAUUUUGUCGGAAUCAAAUUUACUGUGUUAAGCACCACACAGUGCCAGCGAUCGUGACAAACUCUCCGAGAGAUAAAUAGCUUCACAGAUUCUAUUUGUUCUCAAUGAUGCGCCAUGUUUGCCGGCCAAGCCACCACCAAUUACUCUAUUAACGGCUGAACCAAUAUCACGUUUGGCACUAGAUCGUGCCACCAACGAAAUAUUGACCUUAUUGAAAAGGCUGUCAUAGUUUUGGCAUUGGAUGAACCUCUGGUGGAAACUUUUAAUGCAAGACAGCAUUCUCCUUCGGAGGGCAUUGCUGUUGUUCAGUUGCUGGAGAAAAUCUAUAAAAAUAUACUUGCAAUGGGCGACGCUGAUGAUAGUGUGCCAAAACAUCAUUUGCCUCCGCCGGAACGACUUGAAUGGGAGUUGGCCUCACAAAUUUCACAGCGGAUGUCACAGCUGCCAUUACUGUCGAUAGGCAACAGCUGAUUCGCAAGAAAACUACAAAAGCAUCCCGAAACUAUUGCAGCACUAUGCCAGAUUGUUGUGUCCUCAAAGGAACCUAUAAUUUCCGUCAACGUUCGGAGGUUUUGUUAAAACAGCUUUUGGGAAAACAGCGCGAUUGGAAAGAUUAAACAAGGAAUGACCAAUGCACUUAUGCAGGAGCACAAAAAAUCCGUUCGCAAUGUCAUUACGCAGUUUAUUGGUUUAUUUGUUUCGCCAUGAAGCUGAAAAGAAGGGAUAAUGGAUUCAAGAGGUCUUGCAAUUUGUUUAGCUGAUCCAAGACAAAGUGAAUUGGGUGCUUCAUUAACCGAUGUAGCACUAGAACAGUUUGUCGCACACAUGGAAUCUAUUGUUAAAAUGUUUGCUGCUGCGAUAACUGCUACCGAAACCUGUCUUAAUUUGAAUCUAUAAAAUGCUUAUGGGUAUCACCUAUUUGGUGCUAUUAGACACAAAACUGCUGAAUUGAUUUACUAGAAGCCGAUUGCUACGGUUAUUAACUCUCUCCAAGCUUUUCUCGUCCAGGACACUGAUAAGAUUUCAUUUAAGCUGUUGCAAUUUUGGAGAGCGUGGCCGACAUGGCAUUUGCAACAAAUAUUUGGAAACUCUAUUGAAUAUUUUAAAAUGGUGGAGAUGAAAAAUAUGCCGCUGAUACCACCUUUACUGGAAAGGAGAAUAACAUGCUUGUUUCUUGGAGGAAACAUCAAGUGUAGUGUACUUUCUUAUCCAGAACAUUUCCUGGUGUAAUGGUCAAGUUGAGCAUGAAGUUGAUUUUGUACAGAAAGCAGCUCGUUAUCACUCGUUUAGUUCGUAGAGACUGCAAUCUUCCAAAUAAGACAAAAUCUGAAGCCUUUCUUCACGAAUUCUCAGCCCAAUGCAAGUGAACUGACAACAGUAUAUGAUUCUGCUCGAAAAUUAUUUUGGACAAUGAACCAGGUCAAGGAUGUGCUGGUAAA